AAACAUGGCUCUUUGAACGUCACACAUAAAGAGUCGGACCUGCCCAGUGAUGUAAUACAUUUAACGGCCGCAGUACCCUGACUGUGCAAAGGUAGCAUAAUCAUUUGCCCUAUAAUUAAGGGCUAGUAUGAAUGGUUUGACAAGAACAUGACUGUCUCUUGUGGGAUAAUUAAAAAUUAAAUUUUAGGUGAAGAUGCCUAAAUAUAACUAAAAGACGAGAAGACCCUGUUGAGCUUUAAAAACUCUAAGGAAAUCUAAAAGGUUUUUUUGGUUGGGGCGACCUAAGAACAUAUAAAGCUUCUUUUAUUAUUUGAGACAUUUAGUUAUGAUCCAAUAAAAUUGAUUAAUAAAAUAAGCUACCACAGGGAUAACAGCGUAAUUCUCUCUGAAAGUUCAUAUUAAAGGGUGAGUUUGCGACCUCGAUGUUGGACUAAAAUAUCCUAAAGGUGCAGAUGCCUUUAAGGGUUGGUCUGUUCGACCAUUAAAAUUUUA
This 492-nucleotide ribosomal RNA is filed under the name Rissoa lia. RNAcentral's name for it is "partial 16S ribosomal RNA". It matches the Rfam family "Bacterial large subunit ribosomal RNA", at positions 1811 to 2598 of the family's 2925-position model. The record is from RNAcentral. Lineage: Eukaryota; Metazoa; Mollusca; Gastropoda; Littorinimorpha; Rissoidae.